RNAcentral lists this transfer RNA (73 nucleotides) under Camelus bactrianus (Bactrian camel). It matches the Rfam family "tRNA". From Rfam's summary of the family: Transfer RNA (tRNA) molecules are approximately 80 nucleotides in length. Their secondary structure includes four short double-helical elements and three loops (D, anti-codon, and T loops). The record is from Rfam by way of RNAcentral. Lineage: Eukaryota; Metazoa; Chordata; Mammalia; Artiodactyla; Camelidae. RNAcentral also lists the same sequence under 2 other names.
GAGGGUAUAGCUCAAGUGGUAGAGUGCAUGCUUAGCAUGCAUGAGGUCCUGGGUUCAAUCUCCAGCACCUUCA